GAGCACGUAGGUGGGUUUGUAAGUCAGGUGUGAAAGCCUUCUGUUCAACGGAAGAAUUGCAUCCGAAACUACAAGUCUUGAGUGUAGGAGGGGAGAAUGGAACUUCUGGUGGAGCGGUGAAAUGCGUAGAUAUCAGAAGGAACGCCGGCGGCGAAAGCGAUUCUCUGGCCUAUUACUGACACUCAGUGUGCGAAAGCUAGGGGAGCAAACAGGAUUAGAUACCCUGGUAGUCCAUGCCGUAAACGUUGGGCACUAAGUAGAGGGG
This 265-nucleotide ribosomal RNA is filed under the name uncultured bacterium. RNAcentral's name for it is "partial 16S ribosomal RNA". It matches the Rfam family "Bacterial small subunit ribosomal RNA", at positions 565 to 828 of the family's 1533-position model. The record is from RNAcentral.